This 85-nucleotide transfer RNA is filed under the name Acidimicrobiaceae bacterium. RNAcentral describes it as "tRNA-Leu". It matches the Rfam family "tRNA". Rfam says of the family: Transfer RNA (tRNA) molecules are approximately 80 nucleotides in length. Their secondary structure includes four short double-helical elements and three loops (D, anti-codon, and T loops). Further hydrogen bonds mediate the characteristic L-shaped molecular structure. tRNAs have two regions of fundamental functional importance: the anti-codon, which is responsible for specific mRNA codon recognition, and the 3' end, to which the tRNAs corresponding amino acid is attached (by aminoacyl-tRNA synthetases). tRNAs cope with the degeneracy of the genetic code in two manners: having more than one tRNA (with a specific anti-codon) for a particular amino acid; and 'wobble' base-pairing, i.e. permitting non-standard base-pairing at the 3rd anti-codon position. The record is from RNAcentral. Lineage: Bacteria; Bacillati; Actinomycetota; Acidimicrobiia; Acidimicrobiales; Acidimicrobiaceae.
GCGCGAGUGGCGGAAUUUGGCAGACGCGCAGGAUUCAGGUUCCUGUGUUCGAAAGGACGUGGGGGUUCAAGUCCCCCCUCGCGCA